RNAcentral lists this ribosomal RNA (427 nucleotides) under uncultured Gammaproteobacteria bacterium. RNAcentral describes it as "bacterial SSU rRNA". It matches the Rfam family "Bacterial small subunit ribosomal RNA", at positions 356 to 774 of the family's 1533-position model. The record is from RNAcentral. Lineage: Bacteria; Pseudomonadati; Pseudomonadota; Gammaproteobacteria.
GGGGAAUAUUGGACAAUGGGGGGAACCCUGAUCCAGCCAUGCCGCGUGUGUGAAGAAGGCCUUAUGGUUGUAAAGCACUUUAAGCGAGGAGGAGGCUCUUUUGGUUAAUACCCAAGAUGAGUGGACGUUACUCGCAGAAUAAGCACCGGCUAACUCUGUGCCAGCAGCCGCGGUAAUACAGAGGGUGCGAGCGUUAAUCGGAAUUACUGGGCGUAAAGCGUGCGUAGGUGGUUGUUUAAGUCUGUCGUGAAAGCCCUGGGCUCAACCUGGGAAUGGCGAUGGAAACUGGGCGACUAGAGUGUGGCAGAGGGUAGUGGAAUUCCUGGUGUAGCAGUGAAAUGCGUAGAGAUCAGGAGGAACAUCCGUGGCGAAGGCGACUGCCUGGGCCAACACUGACACUGAGGCACGAAAGCGUGGGGAGCAAACA